AACUGGAAUCCAUCUUUAACCUGGAGCUUUAUACAGAGAAUUUUUUCAGCAAACAUAGCAAGCGGAGCAAAGGUUCUUGGACCAGGAUAUAUUCAUUAACUAUGAGGAAUGAGCUGUGGAAUAAUUCCAGCAACAGAGAUGAGAUCCAGGUGACUGGAGGCUUGAGGUUCCAGAAGCAACCUGUGUAAGGGAGGGACUGCACCAUUCAAUGGACACCCUCAAGUGAGAACCAGUCUAACACCACUUCUGACUGCCCAUACGCUCCUGACUUCAUCCAUGACAAACAUUCCAGCUCCUUCCAGCAGCUGCUCAAUCAUCCUGCACCCCAGCAAUGAGCCCACUUGCUUUGCUUCUUGCCAUAAAUGUUAUAUAAAAAAUCCUCCCAGUUGGUCUCUGUAGUGAUAUUCUUAGAUUAAAGGAAGAUAGAGUGGUAACUAAGCUGCUUUUUUAUUAUCCCAGUUACUGGAAGAGAAUUUUGGAAAAUUCUUAUAAUUGUUAUAUUUGUAUUAUAGUUAUGUCCAGAUUAGGACUCCAUUAUGCCAGACACUAUAUAUAUGCAUAUUGAGGGACAGUCUCUGCCUCCAAAGAACUUACAGUGUAAAUAGACAGGACAGGAAAAAGGAGGGAAAUACUAUUUCCCCAAUUUUACAGAUGGAGAACUGAGUCACAGAGAGAUUAAAUGACUGGACCAAUGUCAAACAGUCAAUCUGUGGCAAAGCUGUGAACUGAACCCAGAUCUCCUAAAUCUCAGUUCCAGGCCAAUGUCAUAAUCACAUGAUCAUCUUUACUCUCUCUAUACAACUGUUAAUAUGAAGAUCACUUCUCAGGAAAAGCAGUUGAAGCACAAAUUGUUAAUGUUUUUUGACCUGUCCUUAUAAAAAUGGAAAUCAUAGGUCAUUUUUCACUGUAGAAUGUUGAUUAGCAAAUCUUCAGGUAUAGUGUGAUUCAGUAGGAAGUUAGUAAAUUGUGUCUCUGUCCUAAGGCAGUAAUGAGUUAAAAUGUAAUUUUUUUCUUCCAUUAAAUGAACUGUGAUACAUCUACACUACUGUAUCCAUCAAAGAAUACUUGAUAAUGUUUUAUAGGAUGUUAAUUACACGCUUCUUCCAGUCACUGACUCAAUAAAGAAAUAUCCUUUCUAGCUUA
Molecule: long non-coding RNA, 1143 nt
Organism: Chelonoidis abingdonii (Abingdon island giant tortoise)
Lineage: Eukaryota; Metazoa; Chordata; Testudines; Testudinidae
Source: RefSeq, a predicted model, not a curated record